CCUACGGGUGGCAGCAGUGAGGAAUAUUGGUCAAUGGGCGUAAGCCUGAACCAGCCAAGUCGCGUGAGGGAUGACGGUUCUACGGAUUGUAAACCUCUUUUAUAAGGGAAUAAAGUGCGGCACGUGUGCCGUUUUGUAUGUACUUUAUGAAUAAGGAUCGGCUAACUCCGUGCCAGCAGCCGCGGUAAUACGGAGGAUCCGAGCGUUAUCCGGAUUUAUUGGGUUUAAAGGGUGCGUAGACGGGUUGUUAAGUCAGUGGUGAAAGUUUGUGGCUCAACUGUAAAAUUGCAGUUGAUACUGGGAGUCUUGAGUAUAUUUGAGGCAGGCGGAAUGCGUGGUGUAGCGGUGAAAUGCUUAGAUAUCACGAAGAACCCCGAUUGCGAAGGCAGCCUGCCAAGCCGCCACUGACACUGAUGCACGAAAGUGUGGGGAUCAAACAGGAUUAGAUACCCUUGUAGUC
RNAcentral lists this ribosomal RNA (460 nucleotides) under uncultured bacterium. RNAcentral describes it as "partial 16S ribosomal RNA". It matches the Rfam family "Bacterial small subunit ribosomal RNA", at positions 338 to 795 of the family's 1533-position model. The record is from RNAcentral.